AGGGUUAGCCAUCUGGGGUCUUCAGCCACAGCCCUGCUUCCAAUCUUCCGUGGCGGAGAUAUGCGGUUAACUUGACUGAGCUAAGCGAUGCCAUGCUGGACCACGCACGUUAACAGACCAUCAGCCGAGCCUAGUAAUAUUACUAAUUUGUCUUAUUGUAUGAAUGUAAUGAAUGGCAAAACCGUUAGAAAAAAGGAGCUAAAGUCCAAUAGAUGGGGGACAAAAAAAAGUGGUGGAAGGGUGGAUUGUGUUGGUGCAUUACAUAAACUUGGGGGUAAAAGGGCCAAGGUAUAAACAUUUAGAAAUAAUAUAUUUUUUUUUAAUAAUGGGAAGCCAUUUUAUAUAUAAGAAAAUAGGGCUUGUGCACAAAACGGGUACAGACAUUAACACAUAAACAACAUGGUCUCUAUUGUAUAAAACCUACCCUACUCAAUCUUAUAUUGGGACCCCAUUAAUGUGGCGCUCUGUCCUUGACACACACAAAUGGAAUCCCAAACCCCCCCCUGACUUUUUAUGGUUGUGUCAUUGGGAAAUCUCCCUUCUCUCACUAAUGGCACUCCAUGCUGACGUUUUCUCGCCAGGUGCCAUCUUGGAACUCUCUCUCACUUAAACACCUCUUAGACUCUGCCAGCCUCUUCCAAAAUUGGCCGACAGGUGUCCCCUAUUCAAGCCCUUUCAUACCAGACUGUGCUUUAACCAGAGCAGAAAGCGAAACAUCCACUCGUGAUGUUGCCUUGGCUUUCUGUAACAUUGCUAAGCUUAUCUCAUACACUGUGUUUUAUUGGUUUGUGUUGUAGUUUGGUAGGAAGCUAAUAACUAAACCUAUAAACUCAAGUCAUGAUCUCAUGCACAGCAAUAUUUUUGGAAACUUCAAGUUCAGAGCGAGGAGCGUGGACUUCUGCAGCAAAAUAUUUGCUUAUUAAAAAAACAAACUGUACCCUAAAUUACAUCUUGCACCAUAAUGUUAGUGCUUGGCGUGUCUUCUUCCAUAUGGAAGGGGUGUAGUGUCUGUGAUGUUAAUUAUUAACAAGGAGUAGCAUCUGCCUGCACAGUUGAGUAUUAGUAGAAGGUAGUGCCUGCCUGCACAGUUGAGUAUUAGUAGAAGGUAGUGUCUGCGUGCACAGUUGAGUAUUAGUAGAAGGUAGUGUCUGCCUGCACAGUUGAGUAUUAGUAGAAGGUAGUGUCUGUCUGCACAGUUGAGUAUUAGUAGAAGGUAGUGCCUGCCUGCACAGUUGAGUAUAAGUAGAAGGUAGUGUCUGUCUGCACAGUUGAGUAUUAGUAGAAGGUAGUGCCUGCCUGCACAGUUGAGUAUUAGUAGAAGGUAGUGCCUGCCUGCACAGUUGAGUAUUAGUAGAAGGUAGUGUCUGCCUGCACAGUUGAGUAUUAGUAGAAGGUAGUGCCUGCCUGCACAGUUGAGUAUUAGUAGAAGGUAGCCUGCACAGUUGAGUAUUAGUAGAAGGUAGUGUCUGCCUGCACAGUUGAGUAUUAGUAGAAGGUAGUGCCUGCCUGCACAGUUGAGUAUUAGUAGAAGGUAGUGCCUGCCUGCACAGUUGAGUAUUAGUAGAAGGUAGUGCCUGCCUGCACAGUUGAGUAUUAGUAGAAGGUAGUGUCUGCCUGCACAGUUAAGUAACGUUGUUAGACGGUAGUGUCUCCCUGUACAUGAGAUUUUUAAUAGAGGGUGCCAUCUUCCUGCACAAUUGAGUAUUAAUGGAUGAUCUAGUGUGCCUGCAGGCAGAGUAUUAUUUGGGGUAGAGUCUUCCUAGUCAGCUGAGCAUUAGCGGAUGGUAAUGUUUGCCUGCACAGCCGAGUGUUAGUAGUGAUUAGUCUGCGUACAGAGCCGAGUGUUAGUAGUGAUUUAGUCUGUGUACAGAGCUGAGUGUUAGUAGUGAUUAGUUUGCGUACAGAGCUGAGUGUUAGUAGUGAUUAGUCUGCGCACAGCUCCGAGUGUUAGUAGUGAUUAGUCUGCGCACAGCUCCUAGUGUUAGUAGUGAUUAGUCAGCGCACAGAGCCGAGUGUUAGUAGUUAUUCUGCGUACAGAGCCGAGUGUUAGUAUUGAUUAGUCUGUGUACAGCUCUGAGUGUUAGUGAUUAGUCUGCGCACAGCGCCGAGUGUUAGUAGUGAUUAGUCUGCGUACAGAGCUGAGUGUUAGUAGUGAUUAGUCUGCGCACAGCUCCGUGUGUUAGUAGUGAUUAGUCUGCGCACAGAGCCGAGUGUUAGUAGUGAUUAGUCUGCGCACAGAGCCGAGUGUUAGUAGUGAUUAGUCUGCGUACAGAGCCGAGUGUUAGUAGUUAUUAGUCUGCGCACAGAGCCGAGUGUUAGUAGUGAUUAGUCUGCGCACAACACCGAGUGUUAGUAGUGAUUAGUCUGCGCACAGCUCCGAGUGUUAGUAGUGAUUAGUCUGCGCACAGCUCCGAGUGUUAGUAGUGAUUAGUCUGCGCACAGCGCCGAGUGUUAGUAGUGAUUAGUCUGCGUACAGAGCUGAGUGUUAGUAGUGAUUAGUCUGCGCACAGCUCCGUGUGUUAGUAGUGAUUAGUCUGCGCACAGAGCCGAGUGUUAGUAGUGAUUAGUCUGCGCACAGAGCCGAGUGUUAGUAGUGAUUAGUCUGCGUACAGAGCCGAGUGUUAGUAGUGAUUAGUCUGCGCACAGCACCGAGUGUUAGUAGUGAUUAGUCUGCGCACAGCACCGAGUGUUAGUAGUGAUUAGUCUGCGCACAGCUCCUAGUGUUAGUAGUGAUUAGUCUGCGCACAGUGCCGAGUGUUAGGAGGUGCACAGAUUCGUAGUAUGCCAUUGCACAGGAUGAUUUUAGUGUGAGCAGCAGAUAAGGGAGGUUGAUGGUGGAGCUCAUACCUGCCAGAGACAUAAAUAAACAUUUCCUUUCAUAGACUGUGAGAUAAACAGAGUUGGAGGGGUGAGGAAUGUGAGAUAGUGUGUGUGUGUGUGUGGAGAGAGGAGGGGGAGUUACAAAGCAGAGAGGUCAUACUCCAACAAAACUACACACCCUCCACAUUUGUUGCCUGCUGUUAACCCCUGCACAGUGUCAGCACAGGCGCUUUGCUGGGUUAAUAUCUGGCGUAGAUGGGCCUGACUGUUUAUUAUCAGGACAAGAUCAGAGAAUGUUGAAUUGUUUAGCAAUGCGGCAGAUCUGGUUUUAUGUUUUCAGUAUGGGUAGAGAGAACACUAAAUUUUACAAUAUAUGAAACCCGACUGUUAUGAGAACAAGCUUAGAAAACCAGAAGUAUUGUAACGUAGAAAUAAAUUCAGACUCUGUUAUCAGGACAACCUGAAGUGGUGGCAAGGUUAUGUGUAAUGUAAGAGAUCUAAAUUGUUAUGAGCAAUGCAGGCCUCGGCACUUCCGAGUUCUUGUUUUUGAAAAGAAACCAAAAAUCUCAAUACAUUUGAAUAUGACUGAAAAAUAUAUAUUUAUUCAUUCAUCCCUUACAGAAAUAGUGGUAGCACUUAUAUUAUUGUAGCAGAAAUAAAAAUUUUAAUAUACAGAUGCUGUGACAUAGAAGAAUAAAAUGCAUCCCUCAAACUGUCCAAGUUAAGCCAGACUGCCCCGAAUUCGGGCUCUUGGCCGUCUGUCCAGGGUUAGUCUGUUGGUGUCCCACAACUAGGUUUUCCAGGGAAAUGUCCCCAAUCAAUACAGUUCUGGCAGAUCAAAAAACAGUUGUGCCAUGCGUAACAUUGUCAGGGCAUUAAACACAAACCCAGAGUGCUUCAAAAGUGCUCGGUGCAGGUGUUGCCCCAAGCGCGCCAUCCAGACAGGCUGCCAUACUCCUUCAGGCGUCUGUCCCCUUUCCAGGCUGGACAGUCCUUACUGGUAUGCAUCCUAUGUAAAAAUGUCUGCAUGUGGGCUUAAUUUCCACUCUCAAUUACAGUUGCACCAACAAUCUAUUCCAUACAGUACAAAGAAUCCAUGUAAUGUUUGCAGUGUGUACUGUGUAGAGACCAAUUCUUCCCUCGCCCGCCUACUUGGCUGAUAGAUUGCAGCCAUGAGUUUGACCUACAAAUUUUCCUGUGGAGUAAGCAGGUUUGCUACAUUACCUGUCCUUUUCCAGAGAUGUUAUAACACUUAAUAGAGACUUGGCAGAUUUAUAUAUAUAUAUAUAUUCUGUACUAAUCAUUUCACAGUGUGAAAUGAUUAGUACAGAGUGCUGUGUGUGUGUUUUAUAUUUAUUAGGCUGCUGCUGGGCCACUGGGAUAUUGUGAAAAUUCCUGGUGGGUCUGCCUUUGGGCAGGUGUGCGGACAAAUAGCUACCUAUGGGGGCGCAUGGCACAAUCGGUGGGAGGGAUAGAGCACCCCAACUGCUGGUAGCUGCAUGUAGCGUGACCGCAGUGGAGAAGCUUCUGUUCCUUUUCCUGGCUUGACCGGAAGUGUUUUUUCCCAGUGAACAGAAGUACCUCCAUUGAGGUCAGUGGCUUGGCCCGCUACAGAAGGUACGGGGGGUGGAGUAAUGAUAUGUGGAGGGACUGGGGGAAGGGAUUGAGACACCAUGGGAGAAUGGGACACAUACAGGGGUUGGGGGAGGAAUGGGACACAUACCGGGGAUGGGGGAGGAAUGGGACACAUACCGGGGCUGGAGGAGGAAUGGGACACAGACAGGGGCUGGUGGGGGGAUUGGGACACCUGGAGGGCAUAGAGAAGGGUAAAAAGACACAAAGGGGCUGGGAUGAAGUAAAACAUACACAAAGGGGAAAAUGGGAGACAAGAUACAUUACAGCAGGUGAGAUAAUCAAGAGGGGGCGGUGGGGGGUUGCACCUUCGCCUGUGUCUCCUACUCUCCCUGUAACUCAGUUCUUCAGCACAGGAGUCUAUGCCAAAGAACUGAUUGACAGGUGAGAGAGACAUCUUAUUAAAGGGACAUUAUAGUCACCAGUACCACUACAUUUAAAAUAGUGGUUCUGGUGUCUAGAGCCUGUCCCUGCGGGCUAAGCACUGUAAAUUUACAUUGCUCCCUAGGAACACCUCUAGUAGCAGUCACUUACAUAUCUCUGCAUGGAGAGGAGCUGAACACUCCACAUAGAGUUGCAUUGCUUCAAUGCAUCUCCAUGAGGAGAUGCUGACUGGCACGGUGCAGUGUUUUGCCAUACAUGCGCAGUAGCCUCCCAGUGCUUUUCUAUGGAACAAAAUUGGAUUGGCUGAGAUCCUCAAGAUUAAUCUCCGCUAAUGUGAAGAGCAGGCUCAUAGGACUUCAAAGUAAAACAAGAUAAAGUAUUUUUUAUUUCCAGCUGUGCAACAGCAUACAUUCACCAUUUCAGUCCCAUUACCAAAGCUUUCUAAAUAUGUCAAGGUAGUUGGACUGUAACACUAGUUAUAUGCAUUUCUGCUUAAAAUAAAUCCGCUCUUUUUUUGUUUAUUUGGUAAUCGUGCUUUAUUUCACAUUCAAGUAAUAGUUUUUAUAUUUUAAGUUCUCUUUUCCUCCUCUAUAUCUACACACUAGGCUGGCGCGAUGCAUUAUUGGGCUAGUAUAGAAUUAUUUUUUGGGGUUGAUUUUCGUUUCAAGUCUGGCCUGGGACAUAAGCAUGGCUUGAAUGGGCUCGUUGUGCUUUGCCAUUCAUGACGACCGCCAUGCAUACAUGUUAAUGGGAGUGAAGGGGUUAAACAUAUAUUCUAGGUGUGUAGUUGGGCCAGUAUUAACCUAGAACAGAAGCCAAAGUUAGUUGUUCCUAGAAAUUAAGAUCACUUCGCUGUUAUGGUCUGAAUGAAUUACUGGGGGAAGGUCAGGUGUUCUGCUAGUGGAAAAUUUUGCUGUGGCUACUUGGACAUGUCCGCAGAACGGAUCAGUUAACACUAGAGAGUUGCCAUGGAAAUGCGUGCAGGUUUGCUGAAAAGCUGCAGGAUGUUCUUCUAAUCCUUCAACAUCACAAGAACUGAACUCAAGAUUCCGCACACUCACCAUGUACAUUUACAGGGCUAUUUGUUAACGGGAGAAAUAAAAGCGAAUUUCAAAUUUAAGGUCAAAAUUGCCCGGUUGAAAACCUUCUCUUAAGUAAUUUUGGCUACUCUGACCUUAAAUAGGAAAUUCUCACCUUCGGAAAUAACCCUGUCUGUCUUGUGUGUGAAAAUUAAUGUCCGUAAUGAGUGCCAUGUGUGCAGAGUGGGGUGAUUAAUAGAUGGUACUGUAUGUGUAGCGUGAGCUGUUUAGUAAAAGGUGCUAUGAAGGGCCAAAUUUAUAUUAACAUGCUUUGAAAUUGGCCCAAAGCAGUCUAUAACUAUAACGGCUAAGUAUUUUUUCAUUAUGAUUAUGAAGUAGGCUGCUGCCACCGCAGUGACACUCCACUUGUUUUAUUUUAUUGUCUUGGGGUAGACGGCAGUGUGCACAUAGGAAAACAGGUUUUGUCGUAUCUGCACAGCCUGAAAGUCCGUUAUGUGACAUCGCAAGGAGGGAAAGAAAGUAUGUCAACCAGCAAUAAACUUGCUGUAUAUCACGUGUAAUAUAUAACCAAAGCGCAAUGAAAAUGUAAACUUAGGAAGCCCUAUAUCUAUAGGUGGUGCUGUAUGUGCAGAGAGACGAUUAGUAGAGGGUGCUGUGUGUGUGUGCGUGCAGAGAUAGAUGAUUAUGAGAGGGUGUUGUGUGUGUCUGGGUGUGUGCAGAGAGAGCAAAAUAGUAGAGGGUGCUGUGUGAGUGUGCAUAGAGAGAUGAUUAGGAGAGGGUGCUGUGUGUGCAGAGAGAGCUAAAUAGGAGAGGGUGCUGUGUGUGUGCAGAGAGAGCUAAAUAGGAGAGGGUGCUGUGUGUGUGCAGAGAGAGCUAAAUAGGAGAGGGUGCUGUGUGUGUGCAGAGAGAGCUAAAUAGGAGAGGGUGCUGUGUGUGUGCAGAGAGAGCUAAAUAGGAGAGGGUGCUGUGUGUGCGUGUGCGUGCAGAGAGAGCAAAAUAGUAGAGGGUGCUGUGUGCGUGUGCAGAGAGACACGAUUAGGAGAGGGUGCUGUGUGCGUGUGCAGAGAGAUCUUAAUAGGAGAGGGUGCUGUGUGUGCAGAGAGAGCUAAAUAGGAGAGGGUGCUGUGUGUGUGCACGCGUGCAGAUAGAGACGAUUAGUAUUAGUGAUAUUUCAGAAGGUCUUGAUGGUAAGGUAUGUCUUUUUGCUGAUGAUACUAAGAUAUGUAACAGGGUUGAUGUUCCAGGAGGGAUAAGCCAAAUGGCAAAUGAUUUAGGUAAACUAGAAAAAUGGUCAGAAUUGUGGCAACUGACAUUUAAUGUGGAUAAGUGCAAGAUAAUGCAUCUUGGACGUAAAAACCCAAGGGCAGAGUACAGAAUAUUUGAUAGAGUCCUAACCUCAACAUAUGAGGAAAGGGAUUUAGGGGUGAUUAUUUCUGAUGACUUAAAGGUAGGCAGACAAUGUAAUAGAGCAGCAGGAAAUGCUAGCAGAAUGCUUGGUUGUAUAGGGAGAGGUAUUAGCAGUAGAAAGAGGGAAGUGCUCAUGCCAUUGUACAGAACACUGGUGAGACCUCACUUGGAGUAUUGUACACAGUACUGGAGACCGUAUCUUCAGAAGGAUAUUGAUACCUUAGAGAGGGUUCAGAGAAGGGCUACUAAACUGGUUCAUGGAUUGCGGGAUAAAACUUACCAGGAAAGGUUAAAGGAUCUUAACAUGUAUAGCUUGGAGGAAAGACGAGACAGGGGGGAUAUGAUAGAAACAUUUAAAUAUAUAAAAGGGAAUCAACACAGUAAAGGAGGAGACUAUAUUUAAAAGAAGAAAAACUACCACAACAAGAGGACAUGGUCUUAAAUUAGAGGGACAAAGGUUUAAAAAUAAUAUCAGGAAGUAUUACUUUACUGAGAGGGUAGUGGAUGCAUGGAAUAGCCUUCCAGCUGAAGUGGUAGAGGUUAACACAGUAAAGGAGUUUAAGCAUGCGUGGGAUAGGCAUAAGGCUAUCCUAACUAUAAGAUAAGGCCAGGGACUAAUGAAAGUAUUUUGAAAAUUGGGCAAACUAGAUGGGCCGAAUGGUUCUUAUCUGCCGUCACAUUCUAUGUUUCUAUGGUGUGUGUGUGUGUGUGUGUAGAGUAAGCUGACUAGAAGAGGGUGCUGUGUGUGUGCAAUGUAAAAUUAUUAGUACAGCGUGCUGUUUUUGUAGUGUGAAAUAAUUAGUACAGCCUGCUGUGUGUGUUUGUGUACACAAUGAGAUGAUUAGUACCGGGGUCUGUGCUUGUUUGUAUGUGGAAUGAGAUGAUUUUGUAGAGGGCCCUGUGAGUGCGGAAUGAGAUGAUUUCGUACUAGUACUAGAAUUUGCUUUAGAAUGCGAUGACUACGAUUGGGGUUAAUUUGUGCAGAGUGAGCUGGUGACUAGAGGUUGCUGCGUGUGGCAAGUCAUAUAAUUAGCACACAGUGUUGCUUGCAUACAACUCUGCAUGGGGAAUAAGUAGAAAGUGAAUAGUGUACUGGGUGCUAUUAGUACAGAAUCAGAUAUUGUAAACGAUUAUCAGAGGGUCCUGUGUGUGCUGUGUAAUUGGAAGAGGAAGUCCCCUUGCUGUGCAUCCUGCAGUCGCUUCUUAUCUAAACAUCCCACUAGUGAUGGAGACUGGACCAGAUCUGUUACCAAGGCAACCACACUAGAGACAGGCUGUUACCAUGGAAACCUGCAAAAAGAUUAGACCCAGAACAGAAAACAGAAGCAAGAAAACCAAUAAUUCAAUUGCCAUCCUCGGCUUAGGGCAUUGCCAACCUCAUCCCCCAUCACCCAGAAUGCACCCAGUGUUACUCAGAUACAUCUUGAGUCAUUAAUAGCAAUGCCAUUAUUACUGCAGAAUUACCCAGCGUCCCUUGGCAUUACCAGUCUUCCAUAACUUAACCCAUGAUAUUGCAGCAUCACACAAAUCAUUGACCGAGCCCCCACCCACCCUCCCCACCAACCCAUUCUCUGCCAGCAAAUGCCAGAAACACUGCACCUAAUCCACAGUCCUGCCCCCACUCUCCCCAGGAUACUUGCAGCAUUGCCCAUACCUGUGGCAUUUCCUUAUUCACACAUGGUAACGCUACCGCUAUACCGCCUAACCAUGGGCACUGCCAGCGUAAAGUAACCUCACCCAGGUCAUUGCCAGGGUCACAGAACCUCCGGUCUCUACAGUGUUAUUGUGACCUAUAAUAUUGCUGCCACUGCCAAGGUGCCUGCUGUAUUUUUAAUUUGGCACCGCAACCUUACACUAACACUGUUGGCUCUAAUGUUUUUUAAGAAGAAUCUUCCAUUCCUCUCCCUUGGCAUUGCAUGUCCUGCCCAAAGCCUUCAUUUACCCAUAUUGUUAUGAAUGUUGCAGGGCGGUACCAGCAAAUGCCAGAUAUAACUGUACACACUGUGGGUGUUGAAGUACAUGGAUUGAAUCUAGAAAGUAUUUUAUCUAUCCCAGGAGUGAGGUAUAGUGAUAACAAGUAUAAAAUGAGGCUGCAACUGACUGCUCCCUCUCAUCCCCAGCCUGUCCCUCCCUCCCUCCCUCUGCUGUCUGUGUACCCUUCCUGUCUAGUCACUAGCUGCUGGCUCAGAGCCUGGGGGUCUGCGAAGGGAGGCGAGAGAGGGCAGGAGAGAUGGGAGAGACAACCAAGUGUGCAGGAGAGUUGAGAAAGAGGGCAGGAGAGAAGAGAUGAGAGAGGGCAGGCAGGAGAGAUGAGAGAGCAUACAGAAGAGAGAUCAAACAGAUGAUAGAAAAGAGGCAGGAGUGAUGGGAGAACUUAGAGAGAGAGAGGACAGAGAAUAGAUAAGAGAUAAAAAAUUGUGCAGGAAAAUGGCACAAAAUAAAGACUGAAUAGAUUGGAGAGGAAAGAGAAAGCAGGAGAGAGAAUGGAGAGGGGAGGAAGGACAAGAGAUUCGAUGGAGAGAAUGAGCAUGGGGUGGAGAGAGAUUGGAGAAUGGGGGGGUGGUAAGGCGGGCUAAUGUGAGAGAGUGUGAGUGGGCACGAGAGAGUGAGCAGACGGGAAAUAAGAGAAUGUGAAUAGGAGAGAUGAAAAUGGGGAGAGGGACUGAGAGACAUGGGCAGGAUAUACUACUAGGAGUGCAAGGGAGAAUUAGAGGGAUGAUAGAAUGAUGAGACAGAGCAAAUAAGAGAGGGCAGGUAAGAGACAGAGCAAUGAAGACAAGGAUGAUAGAAAGCUGAAGGGACAUGAAUGAGAGACAUGACAGAUGGGAGUGAGACUGUGGUUUAGAGAGUGCAGUAUAGAUGAGUAAGAGAGUGGUUCAGACUGCAGGGGAGACUGUGAGCAGAGGAGAAUAUGCAGGGGAGACCGGAGUGAGGGCAGGGAAGAGUGAACAGGAGAGAUGGGAUUGAGAGAGCUUGUAAAAGAGUGCAGGAGAAAUGGGGGAGAGAGAUGACAGACAGCGUGCAGGAGAGAUAGGAGGGAGAAAACAGGUAGUGGGGGCUGGUAGAGAGCAGGAACGGGUGCAGGAGGGCUGGUAGAGCGCAGGAACGGGUGCUGGGGGGCUGGUAGAGAGCAGGAACGGGUGCAGGAAGGCUGGUAGAGAGCAGGUGACGGGUGCAGGAGGGCUGGUAGAGAGCAGGUGACGGGUGCAGGAGGGCUGGUAGAGAGCAGGUGACGGGUGCAGGAGGGCUGGAAGAGAGCAGGUAACAGGUGCAGGAAUGCUGGUAGAGAGCAGGUAACGGGUGCAGGAGAGCUGGUAGAGAGCAGGUAACGAGUGCAGGAGAGAUAGGAGGGAGAAAACAGGUAAUGGGUGCAGGAUAGCUGGUUGAGAGCAGGUAACGGGUGCAGGAGAGCUAGUUGAGAGCAGGUAACGGGUGCAGGAGAGCUAGUUGAGAGCAGGUAACGGGUGCAGGAGAGCUAGUUGAGAGCAGGUAACGGGUGCAGGAGAGCUGGUUGAGAGCAGGUAACGGGCGCAGGAGAGCUGGUAGAGAGCAGGCAACGGGCGCAGGAGAGCUGGUAGAGAGCAGGCAACGGGCGCAGGAGAGCUGGUAGAGAGCAGGCAACGGCUUAUAGGAGCUGGUAAAGAGAGCAGGGCAACGGGCGCAGUGGAGAGUCGGUAGAGAGCAGGCAACGGGCGAGCAGGAGAGCUGGUAGAGAGCAGGCAAAGGGUGCAGGAGAGCUGGUAGAGAGCAGGUAACGGGUGCAGGGAGCUUGCAGAGCAGGCAAAGGGUGCAGGAGAGCUCAGAGAGCAAGGGCAACGGGCAGGAGAGCUGGUAGAGAGCAGGCAACGGGUGCAGGAGAGCUGGUAGAGAGCAGGCAAAGGGUGCAGGAGAGCUGGUAGAGAGCAGGCAAAGGGUGCAGGAGAGCUGGUAGAGAGCAGGCAAAGGGUGCAGGAGAGCUGGUAGAGAGCAGGCAACGGGUGCAGGAGAGCUGGUAGAGAGCAGGCAACGGGGCAGGAGAGCUGGUAGAGAGCAGGCAAAGGGUGCAGGAGAGCUGGUAGAGAGCAGGCAACGGGUGCAGGAGAGCUGGUAGAGAGCAGGCAAACGGGUGCAGGAGAGCUGGUAGAGAGCAGGCAACGGGUGCAGGAGAGCUGGUAGAGAGCAGGUAACGGGUGCAGGAGGACUGGUAGAGAGCAGGUAACGGGUGCAGGAGAGCUGGUAGAGAGCAGGCAACGGGUGCAGGAGAGCUGAUAGAGAGCAGGCAAAGGGUGCUGGUAGAGAGCAGGAGGGUGCUGGUAGGAGAGCUGGUAGAGAGCAGGCAACGGGUGCAGGAGAGCUGGUAGAGAGCAGGCAAAGCUGGUGGUAGAGAGCAGGUAACGGGUGCAGGAGGGCUGGUAGAGAGCAGGUAACGGGUGCAGGAGAGCUGGUAGAGAGCAGGUAACGGGUGCAGGAGGACUGGUAGAGAGCAGGUAACGGGUGCAGGAGAGCUGGUAGAGAGCAGGUAACGGGUGCAGGAGGACUGGUAGAGAGCAGGUAACGGGUGCAGGAGAGCUGGUAGAGAGCACGUAUGUGAGAUGGAGGAAAAAGAAAACAUGAGUAAAUGGGCUGGUGCAUGCAUUGUUCCAUAUUACUUAAUACUUUAUUUUCAAUGAUUAUUUAUUUUUUUAGUUGGAAUCCCAUAUUUCUUUUUGAAAACCUGCUAUUCCCUUCAAUUAGUGUGAAUGAGAAUCUGUGUCCCAUGUGGCCAUUGUAAAAUGACUCCCAAACCCAGAACUGGCUCCUCCAUCAUCCCUGGAACAGUCUGUUUAUCUGCCACCCCCACCCCAUUGCCAAUUGAGUAGAACUAUCUGCCCGCACCCCCUUUGCCAGGGGAGCGUGAGUAUCUAUACCCCCUGCUAGGGGAGUGUGGGCAUUUGUACCCCUUUUUGCCAGGGGAGUAUGAGUGUAUACCCACCAUUGUUAGUGAUAAAAAUGAGAAUAGUCUCCUUUCCCCUCUGGCCAGUGAAAAAUGAGCAUCUACAAUUUCUUCUUCCAUUAUCAAUUGUGUUUGAGUAUCUUUACUAUCCAAUACUAUGAUUAAUGCUAUAUGAAUAUCUGCCUCCCCAUCAUGUCGCCAAUGCAAGACAAAUAUCCCACCCUGCUUCCCUGGCAUGAGCAAAUUUACUGCCUUUUUCUUCCCUCUCAGGGGCCAGAGUAGGGGCAGGAUUUGGCUUUCUAGGUCUUUGAAUGAAGGAGAUGAAAUAUUUUGGGUGAUGUUUUGCUCAUGUUCCUCCCGCCCCUCUCGUGUUUUCCAGACUUUGGGCUGGCACGGUGCCUGACUUUCCUGGCUGAUGGUUGGCGCAGACACGCCAAAAAUUAAGAGGUGGGGGCUGUACAGGACAAAAAUGGUUCUCCAGUUUAACCCUCGAUGGUUACAGAGCUGGCUACGCCUCAUGUGGGAAGAUAUUGAGAACUAGUUCUAAAACUUUCCUUUAAUCAUACAGUAUAAAUCUGAUCUAAAAGUUUGCAAUAAGCUCCAUUAGUUCUUAUUCUCGAUACCCUGGUUGUGUUUCUGAACAUUCACCCAAAUCCACAACACACUCUCAGACAUACUGUGAUUUACAGGUGUCUACGGAGCAUUUUAUAAAGUUUAGGUGUUCAGAAAUUAAACUUAUCAGAAUAACAUACUUUACAUUUUUGAUUUGAUUCAUAACGCCUUUAACUAAAAAAAAAAAACAACAAUGUUUAGAUGUGUUAGAUGUGUAUGAUAUACUGGAUUUAUAAAUUAUUUUUGGCAUUGCGUUCUCAGCGUCUUCGUACACAUUCAGCCCACUGUAAAGACAUGUUUUGAUUGCUGAACCAGACUUCCAGGAGCAAAACACAUUUACUGCGCACUUACCAGACAGCCACAAUUACUACCAGCCUCUGUAAUGCUGCAUGGCAUAUGCAACUAGUCACCAGAGGUACCUUUUUGUCCACUGCACUAGAAAAGGCACUUAAGCAAACCACUAUUCUCGGAUAGCAGUCCAUUAAGGCAUUCCCCCAUAAACAAGUUACAGCUACAAGUAGUUUGAGAAAUGCUUAUCUGAAUAUAUAUCUCAAUGCACUGUUCGGCAAUUCUGUAAUUUAUAAUGUACAGGUAUAUGGAAUAACACACAUAUACAGUGUAACUGCUCACACACACCAGCACAAAGAGACUGUAUAAUUACACUCACAAACCAUCACACGGCUACAGUAAUGGCUUACUCUCGCACACUAGCAUGGAGAUACUCACACAUCAACGUAAAACAAUUGUGUAACCAAUCUGACACACUGCCAUACAGAUACAUUAGGGGUGAAAUCUCAGUGUUCAGUUCUAAAAGGUGAUCUAAAGUAUUAGACAUAGGAAAAUCAUCAUGGAAUCCAGUGGAACUGAAAAGUACAUUCCAUUGGUAAGUCUUAGAACUCAGAGCACAUUGAUAAAUCUCCCCUAGUGUAGCUAAUCACAUACCACAUGAAAACAGACCAUGUAAUAACAUUUACAAACUGGCACACAGUUACCAUAUAACUACAUAAACAAACCAUAACGAUGAGGUGGUCACUCACACACCAGCAUAGAGCUGCGAAGUAUCUGUCAUACCAACACAAAAACACAGUGUUACCACACUCGCAUACAGAUACAACAGGAGAGACAUUUCAAAGUCUCUAUUUUUUGGUUUAUCUGCCUGUAUUUAUUAAAGGAACACUAUAGGGUCAGGAACACAAACAUGUAUUCCUGACACUAUAGUGUUUAAAAAUACCAUCUAUCCCCCUAUCCCCCCCUCUCUUACCUCCCUAAAUAUAGUAAAAUCUUACUUUUGUUCAAUUCUGCAGCUGCUGGCUCUGCCCCUGAUCUGCCUGCUUGCCUGACAUCAUCAGAAGUGAUUAUUUUAGCCAAUCACAAUACUAUCCCAUAGGAUUGGCUAAGACUGUCAAAGAGGUAGAUCAGGGGCAGAACCAGCGCAAGCCAAACACAGCCCUUGCUAAUCAGCAUCUCCUCAUAAAGAUGCAUUGAAUCAAGGAAAGUUCAGUGUUGGAGACACUGAAUGGUAGUACUGCACAUUGUGCAGCACUACCCCAGGAAGCACCUCUAGCAGCCAUCUGAGGAGUGGCCAGUGGAGGUAUCACUAGGCUGUAAUAUAAACACUGCAUUUUCUCUGAACACAGUGUUUAUUGCAAAAUGCCUGAAGGUAAUGAUUCUACCCUAGAAGUUGACAUACACUAAAAAAUGAUUGGGGCACCAAAGAAGCAAAGGGGGGGGGAAAGGCAACAGAUUCGCUCUGCGACACGUUGAUAAACCUUCCCCAGUGUAACGACCCACAUACCAUCACAAAUAAAACAUGCGACUAUUCUCAAACCCUGGCUUGCAGAUACACUGGAUUAUAUAACAAAGUGAGCAUUCAAAGAGAAUUUUACUUUUAAGGCCAGAGUAGCAGACGUAGUGACACAACGUAUCUACUCGCACACCAAAAUACUGAGGCAAUGUCAUUACACACACACUAUAACCACAUAGCAGCACAAAUAUACAGUGUAACCAUACUCACAUAGUCUAACUACUCACUCACCUGUUCAGAUACAGUGUAACCAAGUUCAGACAUUAGCAAACACAAACCGUGUAAAUAUACUACCACCCCAAUUCACAACUAUAGAAUAACUAGCACACAGAUAUAGUGUAACUACAAUAACACAACAGCACACCGUUACAGUGUAAAUACACUCAAACACUAACGUACAUCUCUUAGGGCAUUCUUCACCUCUUGUUGUCAAAUAUCCCCAUUUUAUAAUUGCAAAGCGCUGCAGAAUAUGUUGGAGCUAUAUAAAGCGGAGUAAUUACACACCAGCCCACACAGACACACUCUUAGGUGUUUAAAUGAUGCAGUGUCAUCCACGUGAGCUUUUUAGCUUAUCUGGCUCCAAGUGCUCUAAAACGCGUGCCAUUUAUUGACAAAAUUCUAAUUCCCUCCAAUGAUGGCGCCAAUUUUCCCGUGUGUUUUACAGAAGCUUAUGGGAUACACUUGGGAAGGGCUAUAAAUAGCCAGCAGUCCCAUGUCUCAGUGCCCAAACAUAGUUUAGCAGUUUGAAUGUGUGCUGCUGAAUUUGUGAGAUACUGCUUGGCUCUGACUAUUCAAUCGGUAUAUCGUAUUCCUGACCUUGCUCGUUUAUUGACUAUUCUUUGUUUGUUGCCUGUACCGACUCUUGGCUUGUUUUCUGAUUUAUACAAUUUUCUGGCAUCCUGACCUAGGUUCGUCUAGUUUAUGCUUAUUUUAGUGUUUUAGGAGCCGUUAAAGAAAAACAAACACUAUAACCACUUACGUGUUUUUGAAGUAGAUGAAUUUUACUUCCCUUUACAGCCUCGCCACACAGGUUUUCAGCGGCUGCUCCACUUCCCUGGUAUCAUCACGAUUGAUUAUCUCAACCAAUCCAAUGUAUCCCUAUAGGUAAACAUUGGGAGUCUAGCGCACAUGCAGGGCACGUCUGAGUGCUGCGCCAAUCAGUUGAUCACAGAGGACACACCUCUAGUGGCGGUUUCAGCAAGGCAGCAACUACAGCUUAGUUGAACCCUAAAAUAAAAACAUUACGGUUUCUACAAAACUAAUUUUCAACAUUGCAGGAUUCAAACAAAAGGGCCACUGCACCCAGACCACUUUAUUGCCUUUUGGGGUUCUUUAACAACUUAAGGACGGCAGGCGUGCUAUAAUAAGUGUGGGUGCACUUAAUAUGAAAGAGGUGAAUUACUGUUGAACAGACAUAUAGUCAAAUUUGAGGUUUUGUUUACGCUUUAUUUUGAUCAAAACAUGUAUAGUCCUUAAAGGGACACUAUAGUCACCUGAACAAAUACAGAUCUAUAGCUCCCUGCAGGCAAUCUAAUGUAAACACUGUAUUUUCAGAGAAAAUUGAUAGGAAUACCUCCAGUGGCAGUCACUCAGAUGGCCAUCAGAGGGACUUCCUAUCAUGUAUGGCCCUAAAAAGGCCAUGUACAAGUCAGACAUAUUAAAAUACGUCUGACCUGUGCAGGAGAGAGAAGGCACUGUGUGCACGCCUUCUCUCUCCUGCCUGUCAGCAGAGGAGAGGGUCGGGCAAAGACCGCGAGCUGAGCUGUCAGUCAGUUCAGCUUGCGACUGCGCACACUGCGCGCAUCCGCGCGCAUCCACGGUAGUGCACUCAGGACUUCAUAGGGCGGCAUAAAUGCCGCCCUAUGAAGUAUGUGCGCAUGUGCGGCAAAGCCGCACAUGCACACAAGGGAGCAAUGACGCUUCCAAAUGGAAGCGUCUGAUUGCUCCCUGCUCGCGCCUGCCUAUUUCGGCAUUUUGACGAAAUAGGGGGAGCGGCUUCACGAGGCUCCCGGCGCUGGAACGAGGUGAGUAAAAAGGGCUGCCUGGAGUGUCCCUUUAAGGGGUUAAAGGGACAUUAUAGUCACCAAAACAACUUUAGCUUAAUGAAGCAGUUUUUGCGUAUAGCUCAUGCUUCUGGAGUCCCAUGGCUCAUUUCUCUGCCAGUGACUUGCCAACUCUUUCCUACUCCUAUACGUAGAGAUCCAAACCAUCAAUCCAAAGUACUGUAUACAUGAUAUCACUACUCUCUACAACAUGCAGACACUGUGUUAACACGUUUUUGCACCAAUCUCACUCAAACAGCCGUAAAGAAAUACAGAUCGUGUAAUCACACACACACACUAAACUCAGUUACAGAAAUACUGCUGACAUUCCUGAAUACAGAGGCAGUUAAACACAAUUAACACACACACUGAAGGAGAUUAAUCAGUGUUUUGUUGUAAAUUAAUGUAAAAGGAGAGCAGUCACGAAUGGAAUAUGCCUCUGCUGGUUCACUGCUUUACAUUUACGAUUGUUCCACUUUUAGUACUUUAAAUCCCUUUUUAGAACAGAACACUUUAGUAAAUCUUCCCCAUUGUAGAUACUCACAUUCCAGCACACAGUGACACUGUGCACAAUCACAAGUACAGAGACAGAGCAACAACACUUACUGAAUAUGCAAUGAUUAGGGGGAGAUAUAUCUUAGUGUUACCCGACACAGGUCAGAAAACUGUUACAGUAUAACAGUACAGUAUAACGCACAUUCUACAUACAGAGAGACUAUGUGAUCACACCACACCAGCAAACAGAGACACUCUAAGUACUAAUGCAACAGUACAUUCCAUAUAAGUACUUCCACAUCAUAACAUGGAUUCCAUGAUUUAUUAUAAGUGGCUUCAUGGGAACUAGCCCUAAUAAAUCAGUGGCAAGGUUAGGGAAGUUCCUAGGAAUUGGACCAGAAUGAUGGAUAUGGCCUAUGGAACUGUAUUCACUGGCGGAACUACCGCUGUCACAGCUGAGUCGCCGUAUGGACCCCUGCGACCGGGUGCCCACCGCCAUGUGUAUGUGGCCCCGGCCAUGCGGUAGAUCCACUGGGGUGGCACGUUAAGGGGCCCACCGGGUGGCCCAUGCUGUUAGGGCCACCCAAUGGCAAUGAAUAUCCAGGUGGCCCGGUCAGAGCUGUGGCUCUUUAACAGUGCGAUCGGGCCCCCUGUGAUGAGGUCAGAGCGCUGGGUGGAAGUGACUGCCCCUGUCACUUCCUCCCAACAGCCACCGGGAGCUGCGCGGGAGGAAGAGAGAAGGGUGUCAGAGUGGGAACUCUCACUCCCAUGAGGCUGAGCCACCACUGGACUACAGGGAAGUCACUCUCCUGUAUCUAAAAGGGAGGAAACAGGAGGGUGACGUUAACAUUUUGUGUGUGUGUUUGUGUUAGUGCCUGUAUGUAUGUGUGUGUGUCUGUAUGUGUGGGUCUCUGUGUAUGUGCGUGUGCAAUUUUCGCACCGGGCCCCUUGGUUUUUAGUUACGCCUCUGACUGUAUUAGAUACUUGGUUGGAUCUUGGAGACUUCUCAGAUUUGUUGAAUCAUUGGAAAUGGCCCAGGUAUGCUGGUAUGGUUGUUGGAAUUAUUGCAGGUAGUUAAUGGGGACACUCCAGACCCCUAAAGCAAUUCCGCUUGCUGCAGUGCUUUGUGUGAAGAGUGUGUCCUAUUAAUCCAGGACAUACUUGAAAACAAGAGAAAUUUCAAUGUAUCCAUCCUGGUAAAAUAUUUUUUAAAUAAAUAAAUUAAAGUGUUUUGGUUUUUUUCUUCUUGUAUUUGAGCAGUGUUCAUCUCAUUGUUGUAGUUAUAGUGUCUUGAGUCUCUGAUGCCAUCCUUAAAUUCAGCAUUAAACUGUUUUUAAAAUGUUUUAAUGCUAAACAGCAGUCCCAGCAGCCAAUGCCUCACUGUGCUGCAAAUGAGGAAACUUUAGCCUGAGCAGCAGUGGGUGGCCGUGAUUGGCUAAAAGUGUCAGCUCCUCGCUUUUUAGUCGAUUAUAGCCACCAUUGUUGGUAUGAACCGGUAUGACUAGAGUGUAAUCCCUACCUUAGCCACACAUUCAGUUGGGUCCGGAGUGUUGGUGGCCAGGGACCCUUAUUUAGUGUUAAACUGCUCAAAAAUGUUUUGACACUGAAUAAAGGGAUCACACCAAAGAACUCAAGGCGCGAUAGCAAAUUUAACAAGCAGAAAUUAUUACAGUGCUUAUAGUAUCCAGUGUCCCUUUAAAUAGGUUCUCAAGCAGUAUCAGAUAGGUACGUUUCAUGGGAAUUAGCACAGAUAGAUGUCGAAUAUUUGGAAAAUGCCCAGUUAGAUUAGUUAAACUGUAUUGGCGUAGGUUACAAAGUAUCGGUGGUUGAUUAGUAGGUGCAUUGUAUAUGUGAACCGUUUCAGUGUGCACUAUUCUUUUUAGCUAUUUAAGAAUGGAUCUGAGCAUUCCGUGCUCUCUGCCCUUACUGGGGCCUGUUUUCUAUCAGAGGAAGCUGUGCUGCUGAAGGAGGAGAUAGAGAGGGGAGAUGGGAAGACGCAGAGGCGUGAUUAGGAGAGACUGGGGUAUUAGCAGAGGGGAAGGGAGAUUAGGAGGGGGAUUGGGUCACUGUGUUCAUGGAAGUUGUCAGGAAAUAAAUAAACAGAAUAUAAAGCCAGUCCAGGAAUAGAUUUGCUGACGUCAAUGAAUUCCACAGUUGUGGCCUCAGAUAGAGGGGAAGGAAGCAAGAUGGGAGGAGCGGAGAAUGAUGGGGAGAAGAGAGCAGUGGAGAGAAGAGGAGGGAGAGAUGGAUAGAUUUUAAGAAAAAGAGGAUAGUAAUAGGAAGAAGAUAAAUAAGAAAGUUAAAUAGAAUAGAGCGAGAACAAUUCUUUUUAUAAAAAAUCUUAUUAUUUUGUAUUGUCAAAAUCCUGCAACUGUGGUCCAGUUAUAUAGUCGCCGAUUUAAUAUUUCUAAACUUUGGUAUGACUUGCUACAAUUUUAUAUGUUAUAAAUACUAAGGGAAAAACGUGAUAAGGAAAGAGGCGAGGAGGAAAAGAAAAGGGAGAGAGGGAAGGAAGAUCGACAGGGAGAAGAGCGAGGACAAAUUGAGAAAAUGAAAACAAAGGCGACAAUGAGUUGCAGGAGACAAAAAGAGUAAAGAUAUAGGCAAGGAGAAAGAGAGAGAAAUUGGAAGUUUAUUUUCUAAAUACUACAUUUCAAAUUAAAAACUAAGCGGCAUGUUUCGAUUAAAAGUGCUAAUUUGGAGAAAAAAAACAUUGCCUACUCAUUUAUUGUCAGGCUUCGGUGACGAGGGAAGGAGUAAAGACAGAAUGAUAGAUAAGGAUGCAAGUAAAAUGGAGGUAGAACAAAUGACAGGGAUAAGAGAGGUGUAAAGGGAAGGAGAGGGACUGAAAAUGUUAUGGAGGUGGGAGGGAUAGACAGGAAAUGAUGGUGACAGAGUGAGAGCAGAGAGAGAAAACUAUCACAGUGGGGAAAUACCAUACCUCCCAAGUGUCCCUAUUGAAAUGGAACAGUCCCUAUUUCUAUCGCAAUGUCCCUCUUUUCCAGGAACUCUGCAUUGUUAAUGUGUCUUAGUGUUUAACAGUGCUCCACAGCAACAAUACUAACAGUACAGUCGUUAAACUACAAUAAAUGUGUUUAGAAAUCCGCCUGUGUGAAUAAGAUACAUUGUUCUUGGUCUACAUUACAUUGUUGUGGCAUAAAUUAUAAGUAAGUUGCCUAAAAUUUCUCAGAACAGCCAUCGUCACUGGCCACCUCCUCCUCAAAACUAAAGCUUCCAUCAGCUUGUCCAAUUGAAAUAUUAAACAUAGAGAGAAUGGGGAUGUAGAUAACGCGUGAUAGAUGGAGGCAGGGGAAAUGAGAAGAAAGUAUUAACUGAGAAUUUUUAAUAAAGUCAAUGAAAAUGAGUGGAAAAAAUAUAGAGUAAUGUGAAUAUGCAGGAAGAGUACAUUGUAGAAAGAUUUGGAGACAAAGAUUUGGAGGCCGAGCAAGUGAUAAGAAAAGCGAGGAAAUGAUAGAUUGUUUCUGAGAGAUGGUAAAUAUUAAUGUAAUAUAGGGAGUAUGGGGGAAAUUCUCGGGUUAUAGAGAGAGGGGGAUAUGGAUGGAAGGGAAAUAUUUAAAGUGCACUUCUGUAAUAAAAUUUCUCUAAAAAUACUUAUGUAAAUUAUAGUCAUGUCAAAAUGUAUGUGUGUGUGUGUGUGUGUGUGUGUGUGUGUGUGUAUAUAUGUAUAUAAAAAUUAAUGUUUGAAUGAAACUUUAUAAUUUUUUAUUUUUUCCCCCAGACAUACACUCCUCCUCCUCCAUCGUUCCAACGCUGCCAUGAGCCCAUCUUCAUGGGCGUGGAGAUACCUUCCUGCAUUGUCAUUGAGGCAAUGCUUUGCUAUAAUGAACGCUUAAUGUGUGCCCCGCGCAUGUGCAUUAGUUCCUCCCAUCGGCUGACGUCUGAGAGGGUGGAGUGUGACCCAGUGCCUAGGGACCUCAGAGCUGGAAUUGG
Molecule: non-coding RNA, 21099 nt
Organism: Pelobates cultripes (western spadefoot toad)
Lineage: Eukaryota; Metazoa; Chordata; Amphibia; Anura; Pelobatidae
Source: the annotation of a GenBank genome assembly